AUGCUUCUCCUAAAGACUAAGACAUGCAUGCCUCCGACUAGAAGAGCAAUUCUCUCCGAAUCUGCGAACGGCUCCGCAAACCAGUUGUAAACCAUAGCGAGCAUGCCCUUGGACCGGUCGAAAGGCUGGUCCUUGGGUGAUAAGGAUAACCCUGGUAAUUCUGAGGCUAAUACUUGACUGCAAAGCCUGGCUAACCGGGCAACCGGAAGGCUGGGGGACGUGUGAGUUGAUGCGCAAAUAUAGCUGGGAGUAGAUA
This 256-nucleotide ribosomal RNA is filed under the name uncultured eukaryote. RNAcentral describes it as "partial 18S ribosomal RNA". It matches the Rfam family "Eukaryotic small subunit ribosomal RNA", at positions 28 to 235 of the family's 1831-position model. The record is from RNAcentral.